CCAGCAUAUUUUGGAAGAGUAUGGAGUAUUACUUCCUGUUGGAACUGGUGUAUGUUAUGAAUGCUACUUAAAGUUGCCUAAGCAGGACUGUAUGAAUGAAGAAAAUCUUCAAAGUUUCUCACAAGAAUUAUCUGUAGCAGAAUCUACAGAAGAUGAUGGCC
Molecule: long non-coding RNA, 161 nt
Organism: Mytilus trossulus (common blue mussel)
Lineage: Eukaryota; Metazoa; Mollusca; Bivalvia; Mytilida; Mytilidae
Exons: 3
Source: RefSeq, a predicted model, not a curated record